UUUGUUAGAACUGAGAAGUAUAUUGAAUAAUAUCCGCCCAACCACCCUCUCUUAGCUCCUCAUAAUGGAGUCUAAGCCAAUUACAAACUCUCUAGAUCCAGCCCAAGGCCAACCAACUAACUGACUCUAUUAUUCUCCUUGGGUCCUCUUAUAUAUUCAAGGCCCAAGUACAAACCAGACUCAAACGACUUACUCAACUGCUCGCUCUACUUCUUCCUCUUUCCCUUCC
RNAcentral lists this long non-coding RNA (229 nucleotides) under Brassica napus (rape). Its description in RNAcentral is "long non-coding RNA (BNAP_LNC015950)". The record is from RNAcentral. Lineage: Eukaryota; Viridiplantae; Streptophyta; Magnoliopsida; Brassicales; Brassicaceae.